Molecule: ribosomal RNA, 253 nt
Filed under: uncultured bacterium
Lineage: Bacteria
Description: partial 16S ribosomal RNA
Rfam family: Bacterial small subunit ribosomal RNA
Source: RNAcentral
UACGAAGGGGGCUAGCGUUGCUCGGAAUCACUGGGCGUAAAGGGUGCGUAGGCGGGGCUUUAAGUCAGGGGUGAAAUCCUGGAGCUCAACUCCAGAACUGCCUUUGAUACUGAGGAUCUUGAGUACGGGAGAGGUGAGUGGAAUUCCCAGUGUAGCGGUGAAAUGCGUAGAUAUUGGGAGGAACACCAGUGGCGAAGGCGGCUCGCUGGACCGGUUCUGACGCUGAGGCGCGAAAGCGUGGGGAGCAAACAGG